GACGAACGCUGGCGGCGUGCUUAACACAUGCAAGUCGAACGGAAAGACCCUGCUUUUGUGGGGUGCUCGAGUGGCGAACGGGUGAGUAACACGUGAGUAACCUGCCCUUGACUUUGGGAUAACUUCAGGAAACUGGGGCUAAUACCGGAUAGGAGCUCCUGCUGCAUGGUGGGGGUUGGAAAGUUUCGGCGGUUGGGGAUGGACUCGCGGCUUAUCAGCUUGUUGGUGGGGUAGUGGCUUACCAAGGCUUUGACGGGUAGCCGGCCUGAGAGGGUGACCGGCCACAUUGGGACUGCGAUACGGCCCAGACUCCUACGGGAGGCAGCAGUGGGGAAUAUUGCACAAUGGGCGGAAGCCUGAUGCAGCAACGCCGCGUGCGGGAUGACGGCCUUCGGGUUGUAAACCGCUUUCGCCUGUGACGAAGCGUGAGUGACGGUAAUGGGUAAAGAAGCACCGGCUAACUACGUG
RNAcentral lists this ribosomal RNA (468 nucleotides) under uncultured bacterium. RNAcentral describes it as "partial 16S ribosomal RNA". It matches the Rfam family "Bacterial small subunit ribosomal RNA", at positions 28 to 507 of the family's 1533-position model. The record is from RNAcentral.